Molecule: ribosomal RNA, 468 nt
Filed under: uncultured bacterium
Lineage: Bacteria
Description: partial 16S ribosomal RNA
Rfam family: Bacterial small subunit ribosomal RNA
Source: RNAcentral
GACGAACGCUGGCGGCGUGCUUAACACAUGCAAGUCGAACGGAAAGGCCCUGCUUUUGUGGGGUGCUCGAGUGGCGAACGGGUGAGUAACACGUGAGUAACCUGCCCUUGACUUUGGGAUAACUUCAGGAAACUUGGGCUAAUACCGGAUAGGAGCUCCUGCUGCAUGGUGGGGGUUGGAAAGUUUCGGCGGUUGGGGAUGGACUCGCGGCUUAUCAGCUUGUUGGUGGGGUAGUGGCUUACCAAGGCUUUGACGGGUAGCCGGCCUGAGAGGGUGACCGGCGACAUUGGGACUGAGAUACGGCCCAGACUCCUACGGGAGGCAGCAGUGGGGAAUAUUGCACAAUGGGCGGAAGCCUGAUGCAGCAACGCCGCGUGCGGGAUGACGGCCUUCGGGUUGUAAACCGCUUUCGCCUGUGACGAAGCGUGAGUGACGGUAAUGGGUAAAGAAGCACCGGCUAACUACGUG